GAACGGGUGAGUAACGCGUGAGGAACCUGCCUCAAAGAGGGGGACAACAGUUGGAAACGACUGCUAAUACCGCAUAAGCCCACGGUGCCGCAUGGCACAGAGGGAAAAGGAGCAAUCCGCUUUGAGAUGGCCUCGCGUCCGAUUAGCUAGUUGGUGAGGUAACGGCCCACCAAGGCAACGAUCGGUAGCCGGACUGAGAGGUCGAACGGCCACAUUGGGACUGAGACACGGCCCAGACUCCUACGGGAGGCAGCAUG
RNAcentral lists this ribosomal RNA (257 nucleotides) under uncultured bacterium. Its description in RNAcentral is "partial 16S ribosomal RNA". It matches the Rfam family "Bacterial small subunit ribosomal RNA", at positions 100 to 353 of the family's 1533-position model. The record is from RNAcentral.